CCCACACCUCUCUGUCUGUUGUCAUGGUAACACUGUUAGAGGAAGAACUGCACCUCUCUGUCUGUUGUCAUGGUAACACUAUUAGAGGAAGAACUACACCUCCUGUCUGUUGUCAUGGUAACACUGUUAGAGAAGAACUACACCGCCUGUCUGUUGUCAUGGUAACACUAUUAGAGGAAGAACUACACCUCCUGUCUGUUGUCAUGGUAACAACAGGUGUGUACUGACCUCAGGUGAGCACUGACCUCAGGUGAGCACUGACCUCAGGUCUGUUUCUCUCAGGUGAGCACUGACCUCAGGUCUGUUCCUCUCAGGUGAGCACUGACCUCAGGUGAGCACUGACUUCAGGUCUGUUCCUCUCAGGUGAGCACUGACCUCAGGUCUGUUCCUCUCAGGUGAGCACUGACUUCAGGUCUGUUCCUCUCAGGUGAGCACUGACCUCAGGUGAGCACUGACUUCAGGUGAGCACUGACUUCAGGUCUGUUCCCCUCAGGUGAGCACUGACCUCAGGUGAGCACUGACUUCAGGUGAGCACUGACUUCAGGUCUGUUCCUCUCAGGUGAGCACUGACCUCAGGUGAGCACUGACCUCAGGUGAGCACUGACCUCAGGUCUGUUCCUCUCAGGUGAGCACUGACCUCAGGUGAGCACUGACUUCAGGUCUGUUCCUCUCAGGUGAGCACUGACCUCAGGUCUGUUUCUCUCAGGUGAGCACUGACCUCAGGUGAGCACUGACUUCAGGUCUGUUCCUCUCAGGUGAGCACUGACCUCAGGUGAGCACUGACUUCAGGUCUGUUCCUCUCAGGUGAGCACUGACCUCAGGUGAGCACUGACCUCAGGUGAGCACUGACCUCAGGUCUGUUCCUCUCAGGUGAGCACUGACCUCAGGUGAGCACUGACUUCAGGUCUGUUCCUCUCAGGUGAGCACUGACCUCAGAACUAUGACCUUUUUAAAAAAUAAUAGCGAGCAUAUUUAUUGGAUUUCUAAAUUUCCUGAUCUGAUAAAAUGAUUCAUGAUUAAAUCUGGACGGUUAAGGGUCACUUGCGUCCAGGUGAGAACAGGUAGGCAGGCUCAGCCUGAUCGUCCUGAGGACCGAGGUCAGACGCUCUCUGAGACACAUGAGAUGUGUUUAAUAUAAAAUACGUUGAAGGUGAUGAUGAUGAUGUUUCUCCUCCU
Labrus bergylta (ballan wrasse) is the source of this 1176-nucleotide non-coding RNA. The record is from RefSeq and is a predicted model, not a curated record. Lineage: Eukaryota; Metazoa; Chordata; Actinopteri; Labriformes; Labridae.